RNAcentral lists this ribosomal RNA (406 nucleotides) under uncultured bacterium. Its description in RNAcentral is "partial 16S ribosomal RNA". It matches the Rfam family "Bacterial small subunit ribosomal RNA", at positions 30 to 526 of the family's 1533-position model. The record is from RNAcentral.
AUUGAACGCUGGCGGCAGGCCUAACACAUGCAAGUCGAACGAGUGGCGGACGGGUGAGUAAUGUCUGGGAAACUGACUGAUGGAGGGGGAUAACUACUGGAAACGGUAGCUAAUACCGCAUAACAUCGGAUGUGACGAGGUGGGAUGAGCUAGUAGGUGGGGUAACGGCUCCCCUAGGCGACGAUGCCUAGCUGGUCUGAGAGGAUGACCAGCCACACUGGGACUGAGACACGGCCCAGACUCCUACGGGAGGCAGCAGUAGGGAAUCUGGCACAAUGGGCGAAAGUCUGAUGGAGCCAUGCCGCGUGUAUGAAGAAGGCUUUCGGGUUGUAAAAUACUUUCAUCAGAGAAGCGUUAUCUGAACAAGAAGCCACGGCUAACUCCGUGCCAGCAGCCGCGGUAAUUC